UGCCUCUCGAAAUAAUAUGAGAGGUCCCUCCUGCCCAGUGAAAGAUUUCAACGGCCGCGGUAUCCUAACCGUGCAAAGGUAGCAUAAUCACUUGCCUAUUAAUUGUAGGCUAGAAUGAACGGAUAAACGAAAUAAGCCCUGUCUCAAUUAAAUUAGAUAAAAACUAUACUCUAAAUGAAGAUAUUUAGAUAAAAACGAAGGACAAGAAGACCCUAUAGAGCUUUAUAUUUAUUUUAAGAGAAGAAACUCUAAAAAAAUUCGGUUGGGGCGACCAAGGAUAUAAAAAUCAUCCUAAAUUUUAAGAUUUAUAAAUCUCUAUAAAGACCCUUAUUAAAGAUCUUAAGAACAAGCUACCUUAGGGAUAACAGGCUAAUCUCAUUAAAGAGUCCUUAUCUACAAUGUGGGUUGGCACCUCGAUGUUGGCUUAGGGUAUCAAUAUGGCGCAAAAGUCAUAAAACGAUGGUUUGUUCAACCAAUAAUUCCCU
RNAcentral lists this ribosomal RNA (485 nucleotides) under Glyphidrilus borealis. RNAcentral describes it as "partial 16S ribosomal RNA". It matches the Rfam family "Bacterial large subunit ribosomal RNA", at positions 1829 to 2597 of the family's 2925-position model. Lineage: Eukaryota; Metazoa; Annelida; Clitellata; Crassiclitellata; Almidae. The record is from RNAcentral.